AUUGCUAUAGCAGUGGUUAGAUAAUCGUUGCUAUAGCCAAUCUAUAGCAGCGGUUGAAAAGCCACUGCUAUACAUUUGUUAUAGCAACAGUUGAAAAACUACUACAAUAUCCUAUAUAUGGCAGUGGUUGCAGCAACCGCUACAACAACCGCUGCCAUAGACCUACGACGACGGCAAUAGUGGCAGUAGUUAUGGAUCCACUACCAUAGGCUAUGGUGGCGGUUUUUUUGCCUAUGGUAGUGGUUCAUAAUCACUGUCGUAGUCCCUUUCUGUAGUAG
RNAcentral lists this long non-coding RNA (278 nucleotides) under Elaeis guineensis (African oil palm). RNAcentral's name for it is "long non-coding RNA (EGUI_LNC035927)". The record is from RNAcentral. Lineage: Eukaryota; Viridiplantae; Streptophyta; Magnoliopsida; Arecales; Arecaceae.